UACGUAGGGUGCAAGCGUUAAUCGGAAUUACUGGGCGUAAAGCGUGCGCAGGCGGUUGUGUAAGACAGAUGUGAAAUCCCCGGGCUCAACCUGGGAACUGCAUUUGUGACUGCACAGCUGGAGUACGGUAGAGGGGGAUGGAAUUCCGCGUGUAGCAGUGAAAUGCGUAGAUAUGCGGAGGAACACCGAUGGCGAAGGCAGUCCCCUGGACCUGUACUGACGCUCAUGCACGAAAGCGUGGGGAGCAAACAGG
Molecule: ribosomal RNA, 253 nt
Filed under: uncultured bacterium
Lineage: Bacteria
Description: partial 16S ribosomal RNA
Rfam family: Bacterial small subunit ribosomal RNA
Source: RNAcentral